RNAcentral lists this long non-coding RNA (2375 nucleotides) under Homo sapiens (human). Its description in RNAcentral is "uncharacterized LOC105376387, transcript variant 3 (LOC105376387)". Lineage: Eukaryota; Metazoa; Chordata; Mammalia; Primates; Hominidae. The record is from RNAcentral.
AGAAGCAGACUCAAUGGUUUCCUUGUGAGAGGUCCGGCUCCCUGGCCUAGAAAUGGAGGCCUCACGGGCAGGAGGGUAGUGGUAUGUAGCUGUAGUGGUAUGUGCUCUCUCUCAAUGCUGAGCUGCAGCUCCCAGUCAGCCACUGGAUCAUGAGGGUAAAAUACGGAUACUUGACAUCUUCUUAAAGAACAUCAUGCCUGCUAAGCCAUCCAGUUUGGAUGCCCCAGUGCCUUCCACCAGCCAUUCUCAAGCCUCAUUAGAAGAGAGAGAUUGAUGACCCUGUAGCUGCAGCAUCCCAUCAUCCUGCAUUUUAGUUCAAUGCUUCAAACGUUCUUCAGGCCCAGUGUGCUUUCAGCUGUGUAUGUUAAUGGCUACAAACCUGUACAGCAUGUGAUUCUACUGAAUAUACGGGCAAUUGUUAACACAAUGACAUUUGAAGUUCUACAAUGAACCCAUCGGAGAUGCAAAGAAAAGCACCUCCGCGGAGACGGAGACACCGCAAUCGAGCACCGUCGAGUCACAAGAUGAACAAAAUGAUGAUGUCAGAAGAACAGAUGAAGUUGCCAUCCACCAAUAAGGCAGAGCCGCUGACUUGGGCACAACUAAACAAGCUGACGCAGUUAGCUACAAAAUGUCUAGAGAACACAAAGAUGACACAAACUCCAGAGAGUAUGCUGCUUGCAGCAUUGAUGAUUGUAUCAACGGUGCACCGUAUUCUGCUGGUGAGAGCAAGAGAAGGCAUGCGGAUCCCUGUGUCCAUGGACCAACCGUGGGAGGCCUCGCCAUCCGUCCAUGUUUUGACUGAAGUAUUAAAAGGCAUUUUAAAUAGAUCCAAAAGAUUCAUUUUUACUUUAAUUACAGUGAUUAUGGGAUUAAUUGCAGUCACAGCUAUGGCUGCUAUAGCAGGAGUUGCGUUGCACUCUUCUGUUCAGUCAGUAAACUUUGUUAAUGAUUGGCAAAAGAAUUCUACGAGAUUGUGGAAUUCGCAAUCUGGUAUUGAUCAAAAAAUGGCAAAUCAAAUUAAUGUUCUUAGACAAGCUGUCAUUUGGAUGGGAGACAGGCUCAUGAGCUUAGAACAUCGUUUCCAGUUACAGUGUGACUGGAAUACGUCAGAUUUUUGUAUUACACCCCAAGUUUAUAAUGAGUCUGAGCAUCACUGGGACAUGGUUAGACGCCAUCUACAGGGAAGAGAAGAUAAUCUCACUUUAGACAUUUCCAAAUUAAAAGAACAAAUUUUUGAAACAUCAAAAGCCCAUUUAAAUUUGGUGCCAGGAACUGAGGCAAUCGCAGGAGUUGCUGAUGGCCUCGCAAAUCUUAACCCUGUCACUUGGGUUAAGACCAUCGGAAGUACUAUGAUUAUAAAUUUCAUAUUAAUCCUUGUGUGCCUGUUUUGUCUGUUGUUAGUCUGCAGGUGUACCCAACAGCUCUGAAGAGACAGUGACCAUUGAGAACGGGCCAUGAUGACGAUGGCUGUUUUGUCGAAAAGAAAAGGGGGAAAUGUGGGGAAAAGAAAGACAGAUCAGAUUGUUACUGUGUCUGCAUAGAAAGAAGUAGACACAGGAGACUCCAUUUUGUUCUGUAUUAAGAAAAAUUCUUCUGCUUUGAGAUGCUGUUAAUCUGUAACCUUACCCCAACCCCGUGCUCUCUGAAACACAUGCUGUGUCAACUCAGGGUUAAAUGGAUUAAGGGCUGUGCAGGAUGUGCUUUGUUAAACAGAUGCUUGAAGGCAGCAUGCUCCUUUAGAGUCAUCACCACGCCCUAAUCUCAACUACCCAGGGACACAAACACUGCGGAAGGCCACAGGGACCUCUGCCUAGGAAAGCCAGGUAUUGUCCAAGGUUUCUCCCCAUGUGAUAGUCUGAAAUAUGGCCUCGUGGGAAGGGAAAGACCUGACCGUCCCCCAGCCCAACACCCAUAAAGGGUCUGUGCUGAGGAGGAUUAGUAUAAGAGGAAGGCAUGCCUCUUUGCAGUUGAGACAAGAGGAAGGCAUCUGUCUCCUGCCCAUCCCUGGGCAAUGGAAUGUCUCGGUAUAAAACCCGAUUGUAUGUUCCAUCUACUGAGAUAGGGGAAAACCGCCUUAGGGCUGGAGGUGGGACAUGUGGGCAACAAUACUGCUCUGUAAGGCAUUGAGAUGUUUAUGUGUAUGCAUAUCUAAAGCACAGCACUUAAUUCUUUACCUUGUCUAUGAUGCAGAGACCUUUGUUCACGUGUUUAUCUGCUGACCUUCUCUCCAUUAUUAUCCUAUGACCCUGCCACAUCCCCCUCUCUGAGAAACACCCAAGAAUGAUCAAUAAAUACUAAGGGAACUCAGAGGCUGGUGGGAUCCUCCGUAUGCUGAAUGCUGGUCCCCUGGGCCCCCUUAUUUCUUUCUCUAU